UCGUUUUAUGAUUAUUUAAUUGUAAUUAUGACGUUGUAUGUACUAAUGCAUCAUUUUUUUAUAAAACGAAAACUGAAAUUUAUCACCUUUUUUUUAAAUUAAACAAAUUUUUAUGAAUCAUCUGAUAUUUAUAUAUCUCUUUAUGGCUACAAAUAUUGUUUUUUAAACAAAACAAAAGCUAUAUACUAUUAUAAGAAUUAGGUACAAUUAGUCUCCAGUAAAUAUCUCCUAAAAUCACAAAUAGUUACUAACCACAAAUAAUCUAAUAUAUAAAAUUCUCGUGUCGCGGUGUUUGUAGUUAAAGUCCUCCGAAACGGCUAGACCGAUUCACACGAAAUUUUGUGUGCAUAUCGGGUAGGUCUGAUAAUCGAACAACAUCUAUUUUUCAUAUCCCUAAGUUAAAAGGG
This 407-nucleotide unclassified non-coding RNA is filed under the name Melitaea cinxia (Glanville fritillary). RNAcentral's name for it is "misc RNA ENSMCXG00005018221.1". Lineage: Eukaryota; Metazoa; Arthropoda; Insecta; Lepidoptera; Nymphalidae. The record is from RNAcentral.